UAGCAAAUUAAUUAAAGCCAAGGAGGAGGCUGUGGGAACCACCGAUCUAUAGUCUAUCAGAAGCACAGGUGACAACCUGGACUUGCGAUUGGCAUCUGAAGGAGGAGGGAUAGCCUUACAGGGCUGAGCCCUUAACCUGUGGAGUCUGAUGUUAUCUCCAGAAAUUCCUUUCCAAAAGAUGGCAAUCAGGGAUAUACUACAAAAGCAUCCUGUAACAGAAAUAAUGAGACUAAUGCUGGGAAAAAAUGAAGUUUCUUCAAGAAUGGGAGACCACUAAUUGAGAAGAAUUAAAAUCUAUAUUUUGUUUUGAUUAGACUGGAAACAUUUUGUUAUGGAAUUAGUUUCAAAUUGUAAAGUUUGGAAUGCUUCCAAUUUCUUGAAAUUGUCUUAUAUGAGGGAAGACAGAUUUUCCCCAGAUAUGAGAUGAAAGAUUUUAUAUUAGAUAUACAGAGAGAAAUCCAUUUUGCCAAAAUAAGUCACUUGGGCACAGUCAGCACUUUGUCAUAUUGCAAAACUCAGUGAACACAUACAUACAUACACACAUACACACCCUCCUAUCAAAAAGAAAAAAACACACGUACACAACAUAUUCACUAUCUGCCAAUUUCAAAAAAAAAAUCUUGCAAUAUACUCUAAAGUAUGCAUAUCUUACUUUUAGACAC
This is a long non-coding RNA of Balaenoptera musculus (blue whale), 662 nucleotides long. RefSeq lists it as uncharacterized. Lineage: Eukaryota; Metazoa; Chordata; Mammalia; Artiodactyla; Balaenopteridae. The record is from RefSeq and is a predicted model, not a curated record. The transcript has 3 exons.